RNAcentral lists this ribosomal RNA (122 nucleotides) under Propithecus coquereli (Coquerel's sifaka). The record is from RNAcentral. Lineage: Eukaryota; Metazoa; Chordata; Mammalia; Primates; Indriidae.
GUCUAUGGCCAUACUACUCUGAAUGCACUCGAUCUUGUCUGAUCUCAGAAGCUAAGCGGAGUUGUUGGGUCUGGUUAGUGCUUGUAUGGGAGAAACGGACAAAAGUGUACAUAGCUUAGAUG